This 500-nucleotide ribosomal RNA is filed under the name uncultured bacterium. Its description in RNAcentral is "bacterial SSU rRNA". It matches the Rfam family "Bacterial small subunit ribosomal RNA", at positions 28 to 524 of the family's 1533-position model. The record is from RNAcentral.
GAUUAACGCUAGCGGCAGGCCUAAUACAUGCAAGUCGAACGGGAUUCAAAGUAGCAAUAUUUUGAUGAGAGUGGCGCACGGGUGAGUAACACGUAUGCAAUUUACCUUUAACUGGGGGAUAGCCCUCCGAAAGGAGGAUUAAUACCGCAUAAUAUAUUGAAAUGGCAUCAUUUUAAUAUUAAACCUACGGGGGUUAAAGAUGAGCAUGCAUCCGAUUAGCUAGUUGGUGUGGUAACGGCUCACCAAGGCAACGAUCGGUAGGGGGUCUGAGAGGAUGAUCCCCCACACUGGUACUGAGACACGGACCAGACUCCUACGGGAGGCAGCAGUAAGGAAUAUUGGACAAUGGAGGCAACUCUGAUCCAGCCAUGCCGCGUGAAGGAUUAAGGCCCUAUGGGUUGUAAACUUCUUUUAGACGGGACAAACCCCUUUACGUGUAAAGGGUUGAUGGUACUGUCAGAAUAAGCAUCGGCUAACUUCGUGCCAGCAGCCGCGGUAAU